AUUUCAUUAUGCAGCAACUACAUGGAUUGUUAGUCACAUACUUGUAUUAUUGAUAAACUCUUGUUUUGUGUUAUUUAUUGAUUGAUUCAAGAUGAAAAACAGGCCAGGUUCAAGAGGCUUGUGCAGACGUUCACUGACCCCAUGACAGAAGUGUACCUGCUGUUCUUUCAAGCCACCGUUCCAACUUUCACUACUUUCAACUUGCUUCUUCAAAGAGAGCGGUCAUCAAUAUUUAUGUUGUAUGAUGAGAUGGAGAAAUUUGUACGCAAGCUUUGUUCAAAGUUCAUUGUUCCAGCAGCUCUGCAGGGCCUUGAGGAGCCUGGUGACAUUGCCUUUGGGGAGACGGCAAACCAUUUGCCAGGAAGAAAGUUGAACAUUGGGUUCACAACCAGGGCUAAACUCAACAGGCUACUUGACGAGGGUGACAUCACACCACAGCAGGUGGAUUCAUUCCAUGAAGCUGUAUUAUGUUUCCUGACAAGUGCUGUGGCCUAUGCACUAAAGAAGCUGCCACUGAAAGAGCCACUGCUCAAACAUUCAAAAUUUGUAGACGUACGGCAGAGGGCUGAAAGUGACAUCGGAGAUGUCCUGUACUUUGU
Long non-coding RNA from Gadus morhua (Atlantic cod), 599 nucleotides. RefSeq lists it as uncharacterized. The transcript is spliced from 3 exons. NCBI's taxonomy places the organism in Eukaryota, Metazoa, Chordata, Actinopteri, Gadiformes, Gadidae. The record is from RefSeq and is a predicted model, not a curated record.